RNAcentral lists this ribosomal RNA (466 nucleotides) under uncultured Glomus. RNAcentral describes it as "SSU rRNA". It matches the Rfam family "Eukaryotic small subunit ribosomal RNA", at positions 569 to 1040 of the family's 1831-position model. The record is from RNAcentral. Lineage: Eukaryota; Fungi; Glomeromycota; Glomeromycetes; Glomerales; Glomeraceae.
AGCAGCUGCGGUAAUUCCAGCUCCAAUAGCGUAUAUUAAAGUUGUUGCAGUUAAAAAGCUCGUAGUUGAAUUUCGGGACCAAUAUGUCGGUCGUGCCUCGGUACGUACUGGUGUCAUUGGUUUCUCUCUUCUGAGGAUCCUUGAUGUCAUUAAUUUGGUGUCUUGGGAAAUCAGGACUGUUACCUUGAAAAAUUAGAGUGUUUAAAGCAGGCAUACGCUUGAAUACAUUAGCAUGGACUAAUGAAAUAGGACGUUCGAUUCUAUUUUGUUGGUUUCUAGGAUCGACGUAAUGAUUAAUAGGGAUAGUUGGGGGCAUUAGUAUUCAAUUGUCAGAGGUGAAAUUCUUGGAUUUAUUGAAGACUAACUACUGCGAAAGCAUUUGCCAAGGAUGUUUUCAUUAAUCAAGAACGAAAGUUAGGGGAUCGAAGACGAUCAGAUACCGUCGUAGUCUUAACCAUAAAACUAU